UACGUAGGGACCAAGCGUUGUUCGGAUUUACUGGGCGUAAAGGGCGCGUAGGCGGCGUGACAAGUCACUUGUGAAAUCUCUGGGCUUAACCCAGAACGGCCAAGUGAAACUGUUGUGCUAGAGUGCAGAAGGGGCAAUCGGAAUUCUCGGUGUAGCGGUGAAAUGCGUAGAUAUCGAGAGGAACACCAGAGGUGAAGACGGGUUGCUGGGCUGACACUGACGCUGGGGCGCGAAAGCCAGGGGAGCAAACGGG
RNAcentral lists this ribosomal RNA (253 nucleotides) under uncultured bacterium. Its description in RNAcentral is "partial 16S ribosomal RNA". It matches the Rfam family "Bacterial small subunit ribosomal RNA", at positions 524 to 776 of the family's 1533-position model. The record is from RNAcentral.